Molecule: ribosomal RNA, 659 nt
Filed under: Pseudomonas sp. EECC-13
Lineage: Bacteria; Pseudomonadati; Pseudomonadota; Gammaproteobacteria; Pseudomonadales; Pseudomonadaceae
Description: bacterial SSU rRNA
Rfam family: Bacterial small subunit ribosomal RNA
Source: RNAcentral
GCUCUUGAUUAGCGGCGGACGGGUGAGUAAUACCUAGGAAUCUGCCUGGUAGUGGGGGACAACGUUUCGAAAGGAACGCUAAUACCGCAUACGUCCUACGGGAGAAAGCAGGGGACCUUCGGGCCUUGCGCUAUCAGAUGAGCCUAGGUCGGAUUAGCUAGUUGGUGGGGUAAUGGCUCACCAAGGCGACGAUCCGUAACUGGUCUGAGAGGAUGAUCAGUCACACUGGAACUGAGACACGGUCCAGACUCCUACGGGAGGCAGCAGUGGGGAAUAUUGGACAAUGGGCGAAAGCCUGAUCCAGCCAUGCCGCGUGUGUGAAGAAGGUCUUCGGAUUGUAAAGCACUUUAAGUUGGGAGGAAGGGCAUUAACCUAAUACGUUAGUGUUUUGACGUUACCGACAGAAUAAGCACCGGCUAACUCUGUGCCAGCAGCCGCGGUAAUACAGAGGGUGCAAGCGUUAAUCGGAAUUACUGGGCGUAAAGCGCGCGUAGGUGGUUCGUUAAGUUGGAUGUGAAAUCCCCGGGCUCAACCUGGGAACUGCAUCCAAAACUGGCGAGCUAGAGUAGGGCAGAGGGUGGUGGAAUUUCCUGUGUAGCGGUGAAAUGCGUAGAUAUAGGAAGGAACACCAGUGGCGAAGGCGACCACCUGGGCUCAUA